GACUUAGUUCAACGGCCGCGGUAUCCUGACCGUGCGAAGGUAGCGUAAUCACUUGUUCUUUAAAUAAGGACUAGUAUGAAUGGCACCACGAGGGUUAUACUGUCUCCCUUUUUUAAUCAGUGAAACUAAUCUUCCCGUGAAGAAGCGGGGAUAAACAUAUAAGACGAGAAGACCCCAUGGAGCUUUAAACAAACAGCAUAUGCUUACCAUUAUUCUCCUAAAUUAAGUCAAGCAUUUUGUCUGCUAGUUUUCGGUUGGGGCGACCACGGAGAAAAACAAAUCCUCCGCGCUGAAAGAACUUUGUUUCUUAACUACAAGCUACACCUUUAAGUAUCAACAACUUGACAACCCUUGACCCAAUAAUAUUGAUCAACGAACCUAGUUACCCUGGGGAUAACAGCGCAAUCCAUUUCAAGAGCCCCUAUCGACAAAUGGGUUUACGACCUCGAUGUUGGAUCAGGGUAUCCUAGUGGUGCAGCC
Molecule: ribosomal RNA, 480 nt
Filed under: Platyplectrum spenceri
Lineage: Eukaryota; Metazoa; Chordata; Amphibia; Anura; Limnodynastidae
Description: Limnodynastes spenceri partial 16S ribosomal RNA
Rfam family: Bacterial large subunit ribosomal RNA
Source: RNAcentral